RNAcentral lists this long non-coding RNA (240 nucleotides) under Lathyrus oleraceus (garden pea). RNAcentral's name for it is "Pisum sativum (pea) long non-coding RNA (PSAT_LNC017578)". The record is from RNAcentral. Lineage: Eukaryota; Viridiplantae; Streptophyta; Magnoliopsida; Fabales; Fabaceae.
AGAAAUGUUUUUUUUUAUAAUUUUUCUUUUCGGCAAGACUUCAUGAGACUCGUGCCUACGUACCAACAAAGUGCAAUGGAGGAUCAAAACCUCGUAGUUCGUGGUAAAAAUAACAAAGAUGUUUGUUUUUAUUCAUUUUUAAUGAAAAUAAAUUUUGUCAUUUUAAGGAGAGCACUCAACUAGCUACCAAGAACUUUGUAUCACCACGGAGAAGGGCUCCAACUUGGAUAAAGAUCGACA